AGACUGCUAAGCUGAUAGGGUAACCCUGCCUCCUGAAAACAGGCAUCUCAUCUCUGCAGGAUGUGGGAAGGAGGAGGUGGGGACAUCAGCACUUCAUCUGUGUGCAGAGCACUGGGGUUGGUGCUGUGGGGCGACCACAAGAGGCUGUAGGUGCCCCUGUUUGCCCCAAAGCUGGCCAGCCCAACUCAGGACUGCAGGGACCAUGUGAAUGGUGCUCCAGUGACACAUCUCGAGUUGCUUCCUGUCCCGGCCAGGGCCCAGCCGCCAUGACACACACGCCAGUGGAGGAAUCCCUCUUCCAAAUCAUCCGCUGCUACUGUCAGUACGCGGCCCGGGAGGGGGAUGUGGAGACCCUGUCCCUGGAGGAGUUGAAGGCUCUGCUUCUGGACAAUGUACCCUGCUUCAUGGAGAGCCUGGUGCCACGGGCUCGGUGUCACAAACAAUCCCUGGGCAGCAUAGCAUGUAGGCAUCGGUCCCACUCCUUGGUGUCCCUGCAACAGUACUGGGGAUGCAGGCCGGAGGGGCAGGUGGGCUGUGCCCUGGGCAGCUGCCGGUGUGAAGGAGGGGGCACGGCCUUCCGUCCG
RNAcentral lists this long non-coding RNA (584 nucleotides) under Ursus thibetanus thibetanus. RNAcentral describes it as "lncRNA (ENSUTTG00000014179.1)". The record is from RNAcentral. Lineage: Eukaryota; Metazoa; Chordata; Mammalia; Carnivora; Ursidae.